AGCGCGAGUCAUCAUCUCGCGUUGAUUACGUCCCUGCCUUAUGUGACACACCGCCCGUCGCUCCUACCGAUUGAACGUGCUGGUGAAGCGUUAGGACUGGAACUUUGGGCCGGUUUCCUGCCCAUCGUUUCGGGAAUUUCGUUGAACCCUCCUCGUUUAGCAGGAAGGAGAAGUCGUAACAAGGUCUCCGUAGGUGAACCUGCGGAGGGAUCAUUGAAACCGAUCAAACCAAUCC
This 235-nucleotide ribosomal RNA is filed under the name Ulva sp. AJN78. Its description in RNAcentral is "partial 18S ribosomal RNA". It matches the Rfam family "Eukaryotic small subunit ribosomal RNA", at positions 1620 to 1831 of the family's 1831-position model. The record is from RNAcentral. Lineage: Eukaryota; Viridiplantae; Chlorophyta; Ulvophyceae; Ulvales; Ulvaceae.